UUACUUACCUGACAGGAAUACAUCAUGAUCUUGAAGGUGGUUUUCCCAGGGCUAAGCAUAUUCAUUGAGGUCUGGAUGUGCUGACCCCUGCAGUUUCCCCAAAUAAGGGACACUUGACUGCAUAAUUUAUGGCAACGGAGAACUCUGUUCAAGUUCUCCC
This is a small nuclear RNA of Arvicanthis niloticus (Nile rat), 160 nucleotides long. RefSeq annotates it as U1 spliceosomal RNA. The record is from RefSeq and is a predicted model, not a curated record. NCBI's taxonomy places the organism in Eukaryota, Metazoa, Chordata, Mammalia, Rodentia, Muridae.